UACGGAGGGUGCAAGCGUUAAUCGGAUUUACUGGGCGUAAAGCGUGCGUAGGCGGCUUGGUCAGUCAGAUGUGAAAGCCCCGGGCUUAACCUGGGAACUGCAUUUGAUACUGCCAAGCUAGAGUAUGUUAGAGGGAAGUGGAAUUUCUGGUGUAGCGGUGAAAUGCGUAGAGAUCAGAAAGAACACCAAUGGCGAAGGCAACUUCCUGGGACAAUACUGACGCUGAGGUACGAAAGCGUGGGGAGCAAACAGG
Molecule: ribosomal RNA, 253 nt
Filed under: uncultured bacterium
Lineage: Bacteria
Description: partial 16S ribosomal RNA
Rfam family: Bacterial small subunit ribosomal RNA
Source: RNAcentral